RNAcentral lists this ribosomal RNA (792 nucleotides) under uncultured Pelagibacteraceae bacterium. Its description in RNAcentral is "bacterial SSU rRNA". It matches the Rfam family "Bacterial small subunit ribosomal RNA", at positions 44 to 884 of the family's 1533-position model. The record is from RNAcentral. Lineage: Bacteria; Pseudomonadati; Pseudomonadota; Alphaproteobacteria; Candidatus Pelagibacterales; Candidatus Pelagibacteraceae.
ACGCCUUAUACAUGCAAGUCGAACGAAGUAGCAAUACUUAGUGGCAGACGGGUGAGUAACAUGUGGGUAUCUUCCCUUUGGUGAGGAAUAACACGAGGAAACUUGUGCUAAUACCUCAUAAGUCUUUACGGAGAAAGCUUUAUGCGCCAAUGGAUGAGCCCGCACUUGAUUAGUUUGUUGGUGGGGUAAUGGCCUACCAAGACUUUGAUCAAUAGCUGAUUUGAGAGGAUGAUCAGCCACAUUGGGACUGAGACACGGCCCAAACUCCUACGGGAGGCAGCAGUAAGGAAUCUUGCACAAUGGAGGAAACUCUGAUGCAGCGAUGCCGCGUGAGUGAAGAAGGCCUUUGGGUUGUAAAGCUCUUUCGUCGGGGAAGAAAAUGACUGUACCCGAAUAAGAAGGUCCGGCUAACUUCGUGCCAGCAGCCGCGGUAAUACGAAGGGACCUAGCGUAGUUCGGAAUUACUGGGCUUAAAGAGUUCGUAGGUGGUUAAAAAAGUUGGUGGUGAAAUCCCAGAGCUUAACUCUGGAACUGCCAUCAAAACUUUUUAGCUAGAGUAUGAUAGAGGAAAGCAGAAUUUCUAGUGUAGAGGUGAAAUUCGUAGAUAUUAGAAAGAAUACCAAUUGCGAAGGCAGCUUUCUGGAUCAUUACUGACACUGAGGAACGAAAGCAUGGGUAGCGAAGAGGAUUAGAUACCCUCGUAGUCCAUGCUGUAAACGAUGUGUGUUAGACGUUGGAAAUUUAUUUUCAGUGUCGCAGCGAAAGCGAUAAACACACCGCCUGGGGAGUACG